This 616-nucleotide ribosomal RNA is filed under the name uncultured bacterium. RNAcentral describes it as "bacterial SSU rRNA". It matches the Rfam family "Bacterial small subunit ribosomal RNA", at positions 67 to 716 of the family's 1533-position model. The record is from RNAcentral.
CGGGGUCGGAACUUCGGUUCCGGCUUACGUGGCGCACGGGUGAGUAACACGUGGGAAUCUGCCCAUCUAUGGGGAAUAACUGCGGGAAACUGCAGCUAAUACCGCAUACGCCCUUCGGGGGAAAGGCUUCGGCCGUAGAUGGAUGAGCCCGCGUCCGAUUAGCUAGUUGGUGGGGUAAUGGCCUACCAAGGCGACGAUCGGUAGCUGGUCUGAGAGGAUGAUCAGCCACACUGGGACUGAGACACGGCCCAGACUCCUACGGGAGGCAGCAGUGGGGAAUAUUGGACAAUGGGCGAAAGCCUGAUCCAGCAAUGCCGCGUGAGUGAUGAAGGUCUUCGGAUUGUAAAGCUCUUUCGACGGGGAAGAUAAUGACGGUACCCGUAGAAGAAGCCCCGGCUAACUUCGUGCCAGCAGCCGCGGUAAUACGAAGGGGGCUAGCGUUGUUCGGAUUUACUGGGCGUAAAGCGUGCGUAGGCGGCUUAUCAAGUCAGAAGUGAAAGCCCGGGGCUCAACUCCGGAAUGGCUUUUGAGACUGGUAGGCUGGAGUUCGGGAGAGGGUAGUGGAAUUCCCAGUGUAGAGGUGAAAUUCGUAGAUAUUGGGAAGAACACCGGUGGC